RNAcentral lists this ribosomal RNA (253 nucleotides) under uncultured bacterium. Its description in RNAcentral is "partial 16S ribosomal RNA". It matches the Rfam family "Bacterial small subunit ribosomal RNA", at positions 524 to 776 of the family's 1533-position model. The record is from RNAcentral.
GACAGAGGGUGCAAACGUUGUUCGGAAUUACUGGGCGUAAAGCGCGUGUAGGCGGCUUGGCAAGUCGGGUGUGAAAGCCCUGGGCUUAACCUAGGAAGUGCACUCGAAACUGCCGAGCUUGAGUUCUGGAGAGGAAGGCGGAAUUCUCGGUGUAGAGGUGAAAUUCGUAGAUAUCGAGAGGAACACCGGUGGCGAAGGCGGCUUUCUGGACAGCAACUGACGCUGAGACGCGAAAGCGUGGGGAGCAAACAGG